RNAcentral lists this long non-coding RNA (1257 nucleotides) under Marmota monax (woodchuck). Lineage: Eukaryota; Metazoa; Chordata; Mammalia; Rodentia; Sciuridae. The record is from RNAcentral.
CUUAAAAAUGUUGUAAACAUCACCUGCAAGAUGACUGUUGAAUAUUUGUACCGUCAUUUAUUAGCAUUAUCCUACUAGUAGAUGUUGAGGUUGUUUCUAAUUGUUGGCUACUAUAAAUAACUGUCAUGAAUAAUUUUGUGCUCAAAAGUUUGUUUACAUUUUACUUAAUUUCCUAAGACAGGAUUCUCAGAAGUGGAAUUGCUGAGUCAGGUUGGGUUGCCUGAAUUUCUGAGGACUCUUAGUACACACUUCUAAAUUGAUUUUCAAAAUUUAUGUCCAUGUAUACCCUGGUCAACCAGAAUGCAUUCUAAAACUACCACUAUACUAUCAUAUUAAAAGGUUCAAAAUACUUCAUUCAAGUCUCAUUAUGGACCUGCAGAGUACAGUUUCACAAGCAAGAACUCUGUCCUGAAUCUUUCUAACAAGGAUCAGUCCUAGAGCCCAUCAGUUAGCUAUUUAGUUAAUUAAUCCAUCUCCCCCCGCCAUCUACUAUAAAAGGGAGAAAUUUCUCAUGUUGGUUGACAGGUUUAUCAGAUACUUGGGCUUAUAAUAAAAAGGACUCUUUCAGUGAAGCUGUUUGGUCCACUGUACGUUCUAGGGUCAUUGUGGAUGUGUUUGUUUCUUUCCCUCUAACCAUUCAUUUACUUCCAAAUUAAAAGACUAGGAAAAAACUUUCCCCCAGUAGCAUUCCAUUUUGAGACCCUUGGAAGAACAAUCCACUCAUCUAAAUAAUGAGUUUUAUUUAUUAUUGUUAUGGUGUGAAGACGUGUUUAAUCUAUCCCCAAGGGACUGGAAAAAAGGUCUAGAAUCUUUUUUUACUUCCACUUUUUUGCCAAAUAGUUAACUUCAUCAAAGGUGAAGAACCAUUUCCAAAGCUCACUGGGACUGGAGGGUUCUUCCUUUCAUCUUAUAGAUACUUCAGUGUCCUCCUCUAUAAGAUGAAGUCAAUGGAUCGGCUGAAUAGUUAGGUUCCUUCCAAGUAUAAUAUUCUGAAUCUUUGAUAACCUUUUUGAUGGGAGGGUUCCUGAAAUUUCAGAUUUGAAAUUUAGACAGGACAUAGCAAUCUAAGCCUGAAAGAUACUUUGUCUAGUGUUUUGAUCAUCAAGAACAAUCACAUCUGAGCUCAUAGCUGGGGGCCAAAUAUUCAAACAGGUAGAACCAGACUAUCUUUUCUGUGGUUGAGAAGAUGGGUUCAUCUCCCUAAUCUAUUUGGACAUGGAGGAUGGCCUUGCAAAAAUUAAUGACAGGAUGAGGCAU